RNAcentral lists this transfer RNA (55 nucleotides) under Dendropoma rhyssoconchum. RNAcentral's name for it is "tRNA-Lys". The record is from RNAcentral. Lineage: Eukaryota; Metazoa; Mollusca; Gastropoda; Littorinimorpha; Vermetidae.
UUCUUGGUGGCUGAGAAUUAAGCACUAAACUUUUAAUUUAGGGACAGCCAGCAAU